This is a long non-coding RNA of Acyrthosiphon pisum (pea aphid), 641 nucleotides long. RefSeq lists it as uncharacterized. NCBI's taxonomy places the organism in Eukaryota, Metazoa, Arthropoda, Insecta, Hemiptera, Aphididae. The record is from RefSeq and is a predicted model, not a curated record. The transcript has 2 exons.
ACCUUGGCAAAGUAAAGAACCCAUGGCCCAAUGUAGAUGCUCAUUCUGGAGUUUUAUUACAGUACUACGGCUUGAAAGAAAUGAAUUACUAUACAGUAUUGUUUGGAGUAUCCCGUGCUCUAGGAGUAUUAGCUUCUUUGGUUUGGGACCGUGGUCUUGGUCUUCCCAUCGAACGCCCCAAAUCUUUCUCUACUGAAAAGAUGAAGGAAUUGGUCAGCAAACUGUCUGCAAAAGCUGCAUAAACUGUGUAAUGAUAAUGAUAUUUAUUUUGUUCAAAAGAAAGCCCUGCACAUAACUUAUUUUGUUUAUUUCUUGAUACCCCGUCCAAUUAAUUUCUUAUCUUGUCAAUAGAAUUAAGUCAAUUUACCGGUUUUUUUUUUAAAUAUACUUUGGUUCAAAAUUAAUAAUAGCAUACUUUCAGUUAUUUCAAUAUUUUGUUUUAAUUAUUAAAGUAAAAUCUCAAAUUCAGUUAUGUGAAUUAUAAAUAUAUUUAUAUAUUGUUGAUCGUUUUCAAAUUUCUCAAACAAUAAUAUGUAUAAUGUAGAAAAAAGUCCAUAAUGCAUCCUCCUAAAUUACUGGAGUAUAACAUUGCUGUUGUUUAUUAGUAUUUAAAAAUUAUUAAAUAGAUGAUAAAUUAUUCA